RNAcentral lists this signal recognition particle RNA (297 nucleotides) under Catharus ustulatus (Swainson's thrush). RNAcentral's name for it is "Metazoan signal recognition particle RNA (ENSCUSG00005016029.1)". It matches the Rfam family "Metazoan signal recognition particle RNA". From Rfam's summary of the family: The signal recognition particle (SRP) is a universally conserved ribonucleoprotein. It is involved in the co-translational targeting of proteins to membranes. The record is from Rfam by way of RNAcentral. Lineage: Eukaryota; Metazoa; Chordata; Aves; Passeriformes; Turdidae.
GCCGGGCACGGUGGCUUGUGCCUGUAAUCCAAGCUCCGGGGAGGCUGAGGCUGGCGGAUCGCUGAGCCCGGGGGUUCUGGGCUGCGGGGCUGUGCCGAGCGGGCGUCCAGGCUAAGGGUCGGCACCGACAUGGUGGCCCUGGGGGAGCCGGGGGCCACCAGGUCGCCUAAGGAGGGGUGAACCGGCCCAGGUCGGAGACGGAGCAGGUCAAAGCUCCCGUGCCGCUCGGUAGCGGGAUCGCGCCUGUGAGCAGACCCUGCAGCGCAGCCCGGGUAACAGCACGGGACCCAGCCUCUU